RNAcentral lists this non-coding RNA (200 nucleotides) under bovine gut metagenome. The record is from RNAcentral.
UUGGUGUCCGGGGCUAUGGCCCUGGAUGAAAAGGGAACCGGGUGGGAAUCCCGGACAGACGGUGCUGCUGUGUGCCCCCUGAUAGAGCAAUCCCUGUACCUGGCCACUGUGAACGGCUCCCGAUAGCAAGGGACCGGCGCGGGAAGGACAGGUCACUAGAGAAUAGGGUAGGGGCGAGUCAGAAGACCUGCCAAGUCGCU